This 139-nucleotide ribosomal RNA is filed under the name uncultured bacterium. Its description in RNAcentral is "partial 16S ribosomal RNA". It matches the Rfam family "Bacterial small subunit ribosomal RNA", at positions 355 to 509 of the family's 1533-position model. The record is from RNAcentral.
UGGGGAAUAUUGCACAAUGGGCGAAAGCCUGAUGCAGCAACGCCGCGUGAAGGAAGAAGGCCUUCGGGUCGUAAACUUCUGUCCUUGGGGAAGAAGAACUGACGGUACCGAAGGAGGAAGCCCCGGCUAACUACGUGCC